UGAGGAAUAUUGGUCAAUGGUCGCAAGACUGAACCAGCCAUGCCGCGUGCAGGAAGACGGUCCUAUGGAUUGUAAACUGCUUUUAUACAGGAAGAAACCCUCCCACGUGUGGGAGCUUGACGGUACUGUAGGAAUAAGGAUCGGCUAACUCCGUGCCAGCAGCCGCGGUAAUACGGAGGAUCCAAGCGUUAUCCGGAAUCAUUGGGUUUAAAGGGUCCGUAGGCGGUCUUAUAAGUCAGUGGUGAAAGCCCAUCGCUCAACGAUGGAACUGCCAUUGAUACUGUAAGACUUGAAUGCUUAGGAAGUAACUAGAAUAUGUAGUGUAGCGGUGAAAUGCUUAGAUAUUACAUGGAAUACCAAUUGCGAAGGCAGGUUACUACUAAGUGAUUGACGCUGAUGGACGAAAGCGUGGGGAGCGAACAGGAUUAGAUACCCUGGUA
This 440-nucleotide ribosomal RNA is filed under the name uncultured bacterium. RNAcentral describes it as "bacterial SSU rRNA". It matches the Rfam family "Bacterial small subunit ribosomal RNA", at positions 355 to 792 of the family's 1533-position model. The record is from RNAcentral.